This 253-nucleotide ribosomal RNA is filed under the name uncultured bacterium. RNAcentral's name for it is "partial 16S ribosomal RNA". It matches the Rfam family "Bacterial small subunit ribosomal RNA", at positions 524 to 776 of the family's 1533-position model. The record is from RNAcentral.
GACAGAGGGUGCAAACGUUGUUCGGAUUUACUGGGCGUAAAGCGCGUGUAGGCGGCUUUGCAAGUCGGAUGUGGAAGCCCACGGCUCAACCGUGGAAGUGCAUCCGAAACUGCAUGGCUCGAGUCUCGGAGAGGAAGGUGGAAUGCUUGGUGUAGAGGUGAAAUUCGUAGAUAUCAAGCAGAACACCUGCGGCGAAGGCGGCCUUCUGGACGAUGACUGACGCUGAGACGCGAAAGCGUGGGGAGCAAACAGG